This 128-nucleotide ribosomal RNA is filed under the name uncultured eukaryote. RNAcentral describes it as "partial small subunit ribosomal RNA". It matches the Rfam family "Eukaryotic small subunit ribosomal RNA", at positions 1651 to 1785 of the family's 1831-position model. The record is from RNAcentral.
CCCUGCCUUUUGUACACACCGCCCGUCGCUCCUACCGAUUUUGAGUGAUCCGGUGAACCUUCUGGACCGCGUCCUGGUCCAACCAGGAUGUGGGAAGUUAAGUAAACCUUAUCACUUAGAGGAAGGAG